RNAcentral lists this ribosomal RNA (497 nucleotides) under uncultured bacterium. RNAcentral describes it as "partial 16S ribosomal RNA". It matches the Rfam family "Bacterial small subunit ribosomal RNA", at positions 28 to 507 of the family's 1533-position model. The record is from RNAcentral.
GACGAACGCUGGCGGCGUGCCUAAUACAUGCAAGUAGAACGCUGAAGCGAGGAGCUUACUCUUCUUGGAUGAGUUGCGAACGGGUGAGUAACGCGUAGGUAACCUGCCUUGUAGCGGGGGAUAACUAUUGGAUACGAUAGCUAAUACCGCAUAACAAUGGAUGACACAUGUCAUUUAUUUGAAAGGGGCAAUUGCUCCACUACAAGAUGGACCUGCGUUGUAUUAGCUAGUAGGUGAGGUAAUGGCUCACCUAGGCGACGAUACAUAGCCGACCUGAGAGGGUGAUCGGCCAACCUGGGACCGGGACACGGCCCAGACUCCUACGGGAGGCAGCAGUAGGGAAUCUUCGGCAAUGGGGGCAACCCUGACCGAGCAACGCCGCGUGAGUGAAGAAGGUUUUCGGAUCGUAAAGCUCUGUUGUAAGUCAAGAACGGGUGUGAGAGUGGAAAGUUCACACUGUGACGGUAGCUUACCAGAAAGGGACGGCUAACUACGUG